GCCUAGCCCUGAUUGAAGCAAUUGUUUGAGCUCAUUUUCCAGAUUUCGGGGCGGCGGCUUCGCCGCCGCCCCGAAAUCUGGAAAAUAGCGAGUGCGGAAAGCAGGAAAAAGC
RNAcentral lists this unclassified non-coding RNA (112 nucleotides) under Chryseobacterium takakiae. RNAcentral describes it as "Flavo-1 RNA". Lineage: Bacteria; Pseudomonadati; Bacteroidota; Flavobacteriia; Flavobacteriales; Weeksellaceae. The record is from RNAcentral.